CCUACGGGAGGCUGCAGUGAGGAAUAUUGGUCAAUGGCCGAGAGGCUGAACCAGCCAAGUCGCGUGAGUGAAGACGGCCCUACGGGUUGUAAACCUCUUUUGUCGGGGAGCAAAUCGAUUCACGUGUGACUCUUUGCUGGUACCCGAAGAAAAAGCAUCGGCUAACCCCGUUCCAGCAGCCGCGGUACUACGGAGGAUGCGAGCGUUUUCCGGAUUUGUUGGUUUUAAAGGGUGCGCAGGCGGAGGUGCAAGUCAGCGGUAAAAUUGCGGGGCUCAACCCCGUACUGCCGUUGAAACUGCAUCCCUUGAGUGCGCGAGAAGUAUGCGGAAUGCGUGGUGUAGCGGUGAAAUGCAUAGAUAUCACGCAGAACUCCGAUUGCGAAGGCAGCAUACCGGCGCGCAACUGACGCUCAUGCACGAAAGCGUGGGUAUCGAACAGGAUUAGAUACCCCUGUAGUC
RNAcentral lists this ribosomal RNA (459 nucleotides) under uncultured bacterium. RNAcentral's name for it is "partial 16S ribosomal RNA". It matches the Rfam family "Bacterial small subunit ribosomal RNA", at positions 338 to 795 of the family's 1533-position model. The record is from RNAcentral.